This is a long non-coding RNA of Canis lupus familiaris (dog), 3822 nucleotides long. RefSeq lists it as uncharacterized. The record is from RefSeq and is a predicted model, not a curated record. The transcript has 4 exons. Lineage: Eukaryota; Metazoa; Chordata; Mammalia; Carnivora; Canidae.
AAUGUGCAUAUAUAAUGCUUCCUGAGGCCUCUUGUAAAUGGUUUUAGGUUCUCUCUUCCCCCAAGGAUACAAGGGCAGAAUUAAGUUGAUGGGCAGCGGUGGUUUGCCCUUGAAUAGGUGUUAAGAAUGCCGACCUCUGCUCAGGAAUCGGAGGGGCUGGUAUGAUGGAGCAUCCGCUGACAUGGCUGAGAGCACAGAUGUGACAAGACAGACCCAAGUUCCAAUCUUGUCUCUACUACCUCUGACAAGCUACUUAAGCCACGGUUUCAAGAUUUAAAAAAUGGGAACAAGAGAGUGCCCUCUUUAUAGGAUUAUGAGAAUUAGAUGGGGGUAAGGCAGGUGGCCGUAGCACAGUACUUGGCUCACUCAUAAUGGAGCAGUUUUAUGAAUAUGACUAUUAUCAUCAUGUAUUAAAAUUGGGUGGAAGGUGUCUCUAGCAUCCUAUCCAACCACUUGCAAGAUAUCCUUCCCUUACGGGAACUCAUAGGUUAGUGUGAAUGUUGAGGUGCUGGGUGGAACCUUCCUAUCCAUGCCACACAGUAGAUUUCAUCGUGUCUCCCUCAUCCUGACAGGUCCAAUUCCAACAGCCAAUCACAGCUGUUCAAAAGCAUUAUUUGCCUACCUCCUGUUCUGCAGGAUUCCAAGCUGGCAAGGGGAGACCUUUUUUAUUAAUAUUAAUAAGCAUCCAGGAACAAAGGGCCCCUUUACUUUCUGCUUUCUCCAAUUGCAUAAUAAUUAGUCAUCUACACUAAGAAUGAGGUCGACUUCACCUCCUGGAGUACUGAUGGUUUAUAUUGUUGGAGAAGGCAGGCACCAUUCUGAAAUACAUGCAAAACAUGUUCCAUAGAGGCAGAACGCCGCCUCUCAUCCAGAAGACCUCACCAAUAGGGAAGGACACCAAGGACACAGUGUUGUGUUGAGGAGGGGCACCCCAGGUAGGGUUAAUCAGGUGUGGCUUCCUGGCACACCUGGAGCCAAUUUUAAUGGAGGGAGCAAAGGCAAGGACAGAGGAAGGUGGACUGGCUGCGACUGCCAUGAGGGCACAGGGGUGGGAAUCAACAGCCUCAAGUAGGGAAUGAGUAAUAACUUGUUGGCAGAAGCAAAAGAGAGUCACAGAAAAAGGUGGAGGAUUGCAAGGGAAGGCCCUCCUUUGGCAGCCUUGCUCCCCUUCCCUUGUUCUAGGGACUAGAAUCCUCCACCCCAGGGAUUAGGGAAGGGUCAAGCUGUGUUCUGUGGGGCCGCUGCCAACUUGACCUUCCUGAGCUGGUUCCGUCCUUACCAAGCUCCACUGCCAUAGAGCAUAUGAACCUCUCUCUCCCACCAGUAUGACUGUAGUGAUCUGGUUUUCAAGAUCUCUCAGAAUCUAGUCUGUCUUGACCUCAUCAAGCCUAUUAGACAGCCUCCCACUGUCCCCUCAGCACUGACUGUCAUCCCACUGCCAACCUGUUAACCAAAUUCUCUCACCUGAAGCGUCCUCUCAUCUCCUGCUUGAAAUCCUGUGGGGCCCACGUGAGUCUUGCUUCCUGUCUGAGCUUCCCUGCCUGCUGAGUGCUCUCUGACCAGGCAGGAACGUAGUUUUACUGAAGCUCAGCUCUUUUAUCCAGUGCAUGCUGCGUCCUCCCCAAAAGACUGGGAACUUGUUGAAGGUGAAGGACCAUGCCCUGAAAUUCUGCAUCCCACCCCAGACUCCAGCAUGAUGCUGAGCCCAGAGUUAAUCAGCUAAUGGAUAAAAGCCAAAGGCCUGAAGCAUCCCUUACUGGGUAGUGACAGAUGAACAUUUAUGGAGUGUUUACAUGAUGUCACCUGUCCUCCUGCACUCUCCUCUCUAGUCUACCCUGCUGUCCAACAUACAAAUCUGAUGUCACUUCCUGGGGUCAGGCCUCUCUGAAGUUCCCAGUUGUCUGUGUGAAUCCAGGCUCUUUCACAGGGCACCAAAGGCCCUCUGCUCUGGCUCUGCCAGUCCUCCAGCUUUAUCUGUGGCUGCUCCCCCCAUGCCCCUCCCACCCCCAUUGCACUUUAUUCUCUAGCCAGAGUGAGCCAUUUGUAGGGCUUCAGAUUCACUCUACUGUUUUGGGUUCUGUGGCUUUGCACAUGCUGUUCCCUCUGGCUCUUGGGGAACUCCUACUUGUCCUUUAAAAGUAGAAACACUCACUACUCCCCUGUGAAACCUUCCCAGACAAAGCCAACUACUUCCUCCUCUGGGCCCUUUCUGUUACUGGAUUUAUGGCAUCAUACUGUAAGUACCCAUCAGCCUCCAUGCUAGGGUGGGAGACACUUGAGGGCAGGGAUUCAUGCUUUCCCACCCAGCAGCAUUCAUCCUUCCAUCUCUUUAUCUGCACCCAGACUGUCCUUUGGAAAUCCAUUCUUCUCCUUUUAUUCAGCUCAGAGGGGGUUGGAUCCCACCCUUAGUGACUGGUUCUCCCAAACCAGGCCUUAGCCCAGCAACACAAAGCUCUGGACUUCUGCUAGAAUUCAGGACCAUCUGACCCUCUCUUCUUCAAGACAGGCUGGUGGGAAGCAGGAAACCACUGCAACCAUUUUGCCACCGUAGGAAAGCCAACAUAAAGACAGCAUUGAAGCAAAAAGAAAGACAAAGUUAAGGGAACUGCAAAAAAAGAGCCCUGAGCAGUCUAGACAUGAAGCCUACUUUUCUAUGGAGCUUCCAGGAUGCUGGCCAAUAAAUCCCAUAUAAUAUUUAACCAUGCCAAGUUGGGUUUUUUGAUAUAGCCCAAACCCAAAGCGCCACACGUAAUAAUAACUACUGUUGUUGUACACUUAAUAAAUAUCUGGUGAAGUAAAUUCUGUGGCAGAUGAGCCCUGAGCCCAGUUCUGCAAUCUACACCUGACAGAAGGGCCUGUGAGGUAUAGGGACCUGAGUUCUCCACCAAUCCAGCACCGAGGCUACUGGAUUCUCUCAGCAUACUCCGCGCAUGGGGGGCAUCUGGCUGGCAGGUGAAUUCUUCAUGAACACACACAGUUUCUCUGCAGGGUUACUGAAGCAGAUAGCAGGGCCUGGGCUCCUGAGCCAGCAUGAGAGAGAGGGCCAACCAGGAUUGGUCCAAAAGCCCUUGGAAAGUGAAUGAAGCAGAGGUCAGCAGCGUGCAGCUUCACGUUAUUAUAAAUUCACUGGGAUUACUGAAAUCCAGUGUGGGAUUCUUGAUGGUGAAAGACCUGGCUCUCCCAGAAAUGAAGAUUUUAAUGACAAACUGAGAAAUGAGGUGCCCAUCCCCAGGACACAAGGCAGUGGACUGAGAGGCUGGAUGUGAGCUGGCCAAGGACCCAAGGCAUAGAGGGCUUGGAGGAGCCUGGCCGGUGGGCCUUAAGAAAGAAGCAAAGACUGUGCUCUGUUCAAGAACCACAAGACAAGAACAAAGGGAGAGCUUUCGGACUCCUUCUGAUCCUGUUUCUGUUCUCUCUUGCUACAGUUGGACAUUAUCAGCAGAGAUCUCAGUUCGGAAGGCUAGAGCUGAGGGUGGUGACCCAGUGCUGGACUGGGGGAGCAGGGAGUGUGAGGGGAGGUGGUGGUGGCUGAUGGCGAGAACAUGGAUCCAAGCCCCUUGGCAACAUUGAAAAUAUGGAGCCCCCUCUCUUCCUGGUCCCCCACGCUAUCCUUCAGACAGCUGUGCUGUCCUGGGCUAUUGGAGGCCCUGUAAUAUCAACUCAACAAUGCAUGUUCUAGAGCUACGGCUACCAGGACAUCUACUACAGUGCAUGCAUUUAGUUCAGUCCCACAGAGACAUACACUCUAAGAACAGGCAGGGGAGGUGUGAAAUGUUUUACUGGACAACAGGUGUUUUGGAGUUGUAACUAAUAAAAAAAAAA